This 466-nucleotide ribosomal RNA is filed under the name uncultured bacterium. Its description in RNAcentral is "bacterial SSU rRNA". It matches the Rfam family "Bacterial small subunit ribosomal RNA", at positions 28 to 507 of the family's 1533-position model. The record is from RNAcentral.
GACGAACGCUGGCGGCGCGCCUAACACAUGCAAGUCGAACGAGAGAGAGGAAGCUUGCUUCCUCAAUCGAGUGGCGAACGGGUGAGUAACGCGUGAGGAACCUGCCUCAAAGAGGGGGACAACAGUUGGAAACGACUGCUAAUACCGCAUAAGCCCACAGGUCGGCAUCGACCAGAGGGAAAAGGAGCAAUCUGCUUUGAGAUGGCCUCGCGUCCGAUUAGCUAGUUGGUGAGGUAAUGGCCCACCAAGGCAACGAUCGGUAGCCGGACUGAGAGGUUGAACGGCCACAUUGGGACUGAGACACGGCCCAGACUCCUACGGGAGGCAGCAGUGGGGAAUAUUGCACAAUGGGGGAAACCCUGAUGCAGCGACGCCGCGUGGAGGAAGAAGGUCUUCGGAUUGUAAACUCCUGUUGUUGAGGAAGAUAAUGACGGUACUCAACAAGGAAGUGACGGCUAACUACGUG